Molecule: ribosomal RNA, 253 nt
Filed under: uncultured bacterium
Lineage: Bacteria
Description: partial 16S ribosomal RNA
Rfam family: Bacterial small subunit ribosomal RNA
Source: RNAcentral
UACGUAGGGUGCAAGCGUUAAUCGGAAUUACUGGGCGUAAAGCGUGCGCAGGCGGUUUUGUAAGUCUGAUGUGAAAUCCUCGGGCUCAACCUGGGAAUUGCAUUGGAGACUGCAAGGCUAGAAUCUGGCAGAGGGGGGUAGAAUUCCACGUGUAGCAGUGAAAUGCGUAGAGAUGUGGAGGAACACCGAUGGCGAAGGCAGCCCCCUGGGUCAAGAUUGACGCUCAUGCACGAAAGCGUGGGGAGCAAACAGG